UGGAUGGCACCUGGCAAAACGCCAGAGGGAGUGGUUUGUGAAGUAAUGCCAGCGAGCCAUUAAGUGUGGAGAUUCCUUAUUGGUUGACUGCUGUAUCUGCUGUGGCCGGACUGCAGCAGAUGGUGGCCCGUUACGGGGAGCCCCGGGACACUCGGGGGUAAGUGACGAAAAAAAGCUGCCCGUCCAUAGAUAGGACGGGAGCAAAUCUGCUCGUCCCUAGGCAGAUAGGGCGAGAGGAAAAAUGGCCAUUUCGAGAAAAUGGAGAAGAUUGAUACAGUAUGUUUGUGUCUUGUUUUGUCUAAGUGUAUUGUAUUGUCUUUGUGAUGAGAAUAUGGAAGGGGUGAGAAGUAAAUGGCGCAGCAAGGUUUUCCCAAGCGGCGGCAGCGGGCUCUUCCCCGCCCCCCGUCCGGGGAGCGGGACGCCACUGCGAGAGCCCAAAUCCAAACCUGACCCGGAGGCACAGUCUCGCAGGCUCUUGCUCCCAGUGCCCACUGGCAGUUUGAGUCCAGAACACUUCCCGGACUCUCCCCAGGGCCAUCUGGGGCUGCCCGGGACGCUACAGCUGGCAGAAGACGCUACCGGCAUCCCUGAGAUUUGGUCAUUUCCAAUGUCAAUAACUAUUAAAUUGUUCAGAAGGUUGUUUUCUUAGUGGAAUGCUACAGGAUUUUCUUUAGCCAUCCGGAGUUCCUGCCUUCGUCCCAGUGCCAGUGAAGACAAAGGUGAAAGAAUUUCCAGUGUUGCUGAGAACCUGACGAGACUUCGGAUCAAGCUAGCUGCCUGCAGAACUUACCUGGACUGUGAUUUAAGCUAGCUGCCUGCAGAACUUACCUGGACUGUGAUUUAAGCUAGCUGCCUGCAGAACUUACCUGGACUGUGAGUUAAUCUAUUGAGACACCGUUUUAUCUGGAUCAAGCUAGCUGCCUGCAGAUUUAAGCUAGCUGCCUGCAGAACUUAUUUACCUGGACUGUGAGUUAAUCUAUUGAGACACUUCUUUUCCUGGACUGAGACAACAAACUGUAAUCUACAACAAAUUGUAACUCGGUAUCUUUGCUAACGGUGUCAUUGCUGGUAUAAUUUUUCCAAGGGCUUCUUACAUGGAGCCAUCAAUUGGCUUGGUAUCGUGACAUUUUGUAUCCUUCCCUUCUGCUUGUAGCAGAUUAUUUAUGGUGUUUGUGUAAAAACCACUAUGGUCGUUAUUUAAAUUAAACAAAAGGGGGAAAUGUUAGAGUCUGUAAACACGUCUGGAUGGCGCCUGGCAUUUGCCAGAGGGAGUGGUUAAUGUUAAGGUCUGUAAACAAGUCUGGAUGGCGCCUGGCAAAAUGCCAGAGGGAGUGGUUUGUGAACUAAUGCCAGCGAGCUAUUAAGUAUGGAGAUUCCUUAUUGGUUGAGUUUAUGUUAAUUAAGAUAAGCUGUGUGGAAUGUAUAAAUACCUCUGUUGUCCUACAAUAAACGGCUCCCACUCCUGCUGUAUCAACGUACACCCCCCCCCCCGCUUAUUUUGCUGCAGCUGGACUGCGGCAUAUACUGAGAUGAUCAUGUGAUCUUUGUCUUUAGUUCUCUUUAUGUCAAGUAUUGCAUUUAUUGAUUUGCAUAUGUUGAACCAAACUUGUAUCCCUUGAUGAAAUUCUUGUGUAUAAUUUCUCAAUGCCCACUUAUCAUUAUCAUUAUUUUUUUAAAUUGUGUAACUUCUUUUCUGGUAUUACUGUCAAUCAUCCAAAUCAUCUAUAGAUUUAUAGUGUAUAUGAUUAGCUUUUAAUUUCUAAGAAUUUAUUUGGGUUUUGUAUAUAAUUGUACAUGAAUCCAUUACUUGUUCAAAAAUAUUAUAUAUUUCACAUGUUAUAGCAUUUAUUGAGAAUAAUGGUAGUGGAUCAAGUAAAGAACUUGGGACCAGUUGGAAUCUCUCCACAGUUUACUCAGAACAGCAGUUCUCAAAGUGUGAUCUGAGGAGUCCUUGGAGCUAUUCAGAUUUUUGCACAGGAGUCAUAUGAUCAAAAAGUAUUUUUAUAAUGUCACUAAAACAUUACUUACACUGAAGUAAAACUUGGCAAAAUGGAAGUCAAGGUACAAAACUACAAUAGUAGUCAUUGUAUUUCCGAGCAUGUUUUAUCUGCACAAGAGAAAAUUCAAGUUUACUUAAACAUGUUCUAUUUGAAGCAAUAAAAAUUAUUAACUUUAUUAAAUCUCCAUUUGAA
This 2192-nucleotide long non-coding RNA is filed under the name Marmota monax (woodchuck). The record is from RNAcentral. Lineage: Eukaryota; Metazoa; Chordata; Mammalia; Rodentia; Sciuridae.